Molecule: long non-coding RNA, 256 nt
Filed under: Elaeis guineensis (African oil palm)
Lineage: Eukaryota; Viridiplantae; Streptophyta; Magnoliopsida; Arecales; Arecaceae
Description: long non-coding RNA (EGUI_LNC028189)
Source: RNAcentral
UAGCCCAUUUUUCUCUCUUCAUAUAUUUCUCUUUCUAUGAUUGAUCCAGUAAAAGAUUUUUUUUCAAUGACUCUGAUUUGAUCUUAAUAAAGAGAGUCCUGAUCCAUGAUUUUUGGACAGCAUGUUAGCACCUAUCUUGAUCGAACCCGAAUACCAUCAUAUUUGAUCUAUUUGAUCUUCAUGAAGCUAAUUAUAUCUCAAUCUGAUCUUGAUUAAAUAAAGUUAUUUGAUCAAACUAAUCUUUGACCGCUGAGCA